GGUGCAUGGCAACCAGCCCACCUGGUUCUACGCAGGAACUGGCUCAAGUGUCAAAGGUUUCAACGCAGUCGAUGACAGCUCCCUUUGAAGCCUUCCUGGAAAUGUGAUGAAAUCUUCUGAGUCCAUAUUGCAAGAGAUCUCUGACUUUGAAACAAGCCCUUCUCGUUUUCAACGUGACACCGCAUUUACGUUUGAAACACAGCCAUAUCUAUACAGGAACUAAGGCAGUCCAGUACAGCAAAGCUGUUAACUGACCCAUCAAAGGAUCAUUCCCUCGGCCCAGGAAAAUGCUGAACUGUUUCCUCUGUAACCUUUUCUACUUCUCCUGGCUCAACUGUGUAUAUGUGAUCUCCCCUGUAACGAAACAUAAGCAGUGCAGAUAGGAAAUGCUCUGCAGAGAGGUGACCUUUCCUCUGAAAGGUAUAUACCUGUUCAAAGUUAUUUCAUGGAACAGACAUGCAAGACUCAGCUUAUGUUAAGCGAAACAAGACUAUCCUCUCUUAAUUCUGUUUCACUAUUAACAGCAAUCCAGUUUGACUUGGUUCAAAAAGUUUGAAAAUCCACCUGUUCCACAUCUGGUGUGCAUCUAGAAGGAUUUCAUGACAUUUUCAGCAUUGGAUUUUUUUGCUGUUGUUGGCUUCUUUUAAGCAGCUACAGUUAUGAAGCCUC
This 669-nucleotide long non-coding RNA is filed under the name Gallus gallus (chicken). RNAcentral describes it as "long non-coding RNA NONGGAT001172". The record is from RNAcentral. Lineage: Eukaryota; Metazoa; Chordata; Aves; Galliformes; Phasianidae.